UGUUCUAGGUCGCCCACCAGUAAAAUGCGGGAAUACUUUAUGUUCUAGGUCGCCACCAGUAAAAUGCGGGAAUACCUUUCAGUUCUAGGUCGCCCACCAGUAAAAUGCGGGAAUACUUUCAGUUCUAGGUCGCCCACCAGUAAAAUGCGGGAAUACUUUUCAGAUCUAGGUCGCCCACCAGUAUAAUGCGGGAAUACCUUUCAGUUCUAGGUCGCCCACCAGUAAAAUGCGGGAAUACUUUCUGUUCUAGGUCGCCCACAAGUAAAAUGCGGGAAUACUUUUCAGUUCUAGGUCGCCCACCAGUAAAAUGCGGGAAUACUUUAUGUUCUAGGUCGCCCACCAGUAAAAUGCGGGAAUUCUUUUCAGCUCUAGGUCGCCCACCAGUAAAAUGCGUGAAUACUUUUCAGCACUAGGUCGCCCACCAGUAUAAUGCGGGAAUACCUUUCAGUUCUAGGUCGCCCACCAGUAAAAUGCGGGAAUACAUUCAGUUCUAGGUCGCCCACCAGUAAAAUGCGGGAAUACUUUUCACCUCUAGGUCGCCCACCAGUAUAAUGCGGGAAUUCCUUUCAGUUCUAGGUCGCCCACCAGUAAAAUGCUGGAAUACUUUUCAGCUCUAGGUCGCCAGCAGUAAAAUGCGGGAAUACUUUAUGUUCUAGGUCGCCCACCAGUAAAAUGCGGGAAUACUUUAUGUUCUAGGUCGCCACUAGUAAAAUGCGGGAAUUCCUUUCAGUUCUAGGUCGCCCACCAGUAAAAUGCGGGAAUACUUUUCAGUUCUAGGUCGCCCACCAGUAAAAUGCGGGAAUACUUUCUGUUCUAGGUCGCCCACCAGUAAAAUGCGGGAAUACUUUCU
Molecule: long non-coding RNA, 850 nt
Filed under: Nicotiana tabacum (common tobacco)
Lineage: Eukaryota; Viridiplantae; Streptophyta; Magnoliopsida; Solanales; Solanaceae
Description: long non-coding RNA (NTAB_LNC015978)
Source: RNAcentral